AAGUCGUAACAAGGUUUCCGUAGGUGAACCUGCGGAAGGAUCAUUAACACGUAUCCAAACGUUAAACCCCCCUGUGAACCUUCAGUGUACUCGUACGUCCGUUAGAAAAAGCAGCAAUCCCUGGUAAAUCAUCGCAGGGACGUCUGCAAGGAGCGUGCAUGUUGUGCGAAGCAAGUGGCCUGGCAUCCCCAAGCAGUUAGUGUCUGAAAGUGUCAUUAACUGUGUAAGGAUGACGCAGUCACGAUCGUUGGAGGCCCACACGGCCGACGACCGGGUCACUGGGCGCAAGCCCCCCUAUAACAAACGCUGCUAAUCGCGGCCGCGAUAAUACGCAGUCGACCAAAAACCGAACAACUGUUAACAAUGGAUAUCUUGGUUCUC
Molecule: unclassified non-coding RNA, 381 nt
Filed under: fungal sp.
Lineage: Eukaryota; Fungi
Description: partial internal transcribed spacer region
Rfam family: Eukaryotic small subunit ribosomal RNA (bases 1-46)
Source: RNAcentral